Non-coding RNA from Gasterosteus aculeatus aculeatus (three-spined stickleback), 2316 nucleotides. The record is from RefSeq and is a predicted model, not a curated record. Lineage: Eukaryota; Metazoa; Chordata; Actinopteri; Perciformes; Gasterosteidae.
AAAACAUUUUUUGAGACUUUCAUAAUUUCAUUGUUUUUCCUUUCAGAUUUGCAUUCGGAUGGAGUGUGAUUUGUUCUUUAGUCUGACGCCGUCUGACCAACAUCGCCAGGAAGCCGUCGAGCCUCUUUUCAUUCCCGGGUGUGUUUGAUUUGCCUUUUUGCCUCCCAGGAGGGCGGGGUUUAGCAGUUAGUCCCGUAGCUCCGCCGUGUCACCUAGUUGUGUGUGUGUGCGCGUCCUCUUUUAUCUCGGCUCGUCUCUGGAAUAAGCCCAGUUCUGUAGUUCGUAAAUAUUUUGGAACCAAAACAAGCGUAGAAAGACGAGGUCGCUCACUUCCACGUCCCGCUGAGGAGGCCCCCAGCAGGGCCCUCAGGUGAGGCCCUCACCUGAGCAAUGCAGAUGUUACUGCGCGCUGACGUUCGAUAUGUUUGAAAAGCAGAACUACAAGAAAUGAUCACAGAAAAUCAACCUGUGACACAUCGACGAAUGUAAUAAGUAGUAUUGAUAUUUGGUUUAAAGCAUAAACAUUGGUUUUGAUAAAUAAAUCUUUUAUUUAAGGAAUUGUGACCCAGACUUGGUGGAAAACUCUGACAUCACGCCUAUUUCUUCAUUUCUUGUUUCUUAUUGGUCAACAAAUACCAUGUCAGAACAUGGCAUGGUAUGAGAUGUCAGAACAUAAUUCUAUUUAAGAACAUGUCUCCAUUAAAGUUUGAGAGCAAAGACAAAAUAAUUUUUUGUGCACAGUAAAAUUUCCAGUUCAGUUCAUCGCUCGGUCACAAUUCUUUAAUGAACAAAUUUAAAUUAAAAAUGUGAUUUGGAUUUUUUGGGCCUCAAAAGUUGAAAACAAGUUUUUGCACAGAAACGUAAUAUUGAAUACAUUUUCUGAAUAGAUGUUACAUUUGAUAUUUUCUACCAUCAGGAGGCAUUCAGUCAUUUUCAUUUUUAGGUUGUGAAGAAAUACGUCUCAUGUUCCUAAAGUUUUAAGCUGGAAGUUGUGAAUUAAAUUCCAUUUCUGAUCAAUUUCCCUUUUGAGCCACUAAUUGUUUCAGCUGUAAUCAUUUAUUUCACCAGGUUAAACUGACAUUUCCACACGUGGAACCACAUGCGCUUCCAUCUUCCAACACUAUUAGAAAUACUUCAGAUUAGAACCGCCGCAAUGUAUUUUUCAACAAAUACCCCAUCUGAUGUUUAAUUAAGACGCGCUAGGAUUUGAUUUUGUUUGAGUGUUUAAAUUCAGCUCAGGAAUCCAGCACUGAGUUUGUUUGCUUCACCUUUUAAUUUAAAUGAAACUAAAUGUAUCUACAGUAGUUUGGUUUGGCUCCAAUAGCUGGUUCUACUUGGAUCCUGUUCAAAGAUUUAUAGAUUUGUAUAUUUGUUGAGCUGUAAAUCACAUGUCAUAUGUCGACGCAGUUUUAUAGUUUCAUAUCAGUAAAUCAUAGUUUGCAUGUUUCUUAAAUCACCGUCUCCCAAACAUUUCCCACUGAGUGGCGACGUGAAUGAAAUUCCAUAGAAGACAGUGAAAUGUCAGAUGCAUGCUGGGAGGACCGAGGUCAUGACCUCACGAGGUGACCAGAGCUGCAACCAAUGAUUACUUUUAUUCUCAAUUAACGUGACAAUUCUCUUCUAUAAUAAAUGUCCACAAUCUAAAUAUAUUGUAUUCUUUUUUAUUUGCUCAGCUCGAGCUGGUACAGUUCACUAAACCGUUUAACUUAGUUACAAUAUUGUUUCAAUUAAAGUUUGAGAAGUUGUUUACAAACCGUUUUAUGGCACGUUGCAUUCUGGGAAAUGCAGUCCCCUCUCUGGUCGACUCCUGGUCCGUUCUCAACAUUUCUGGAUCUUUCUGAUAUUCAUUUGAUUGAUUGAUUGAAUUGGACCCCAAAAGUGUGUGUGUGUGUGUGUGUGUGUGUGUGUGUGUGUGUGUGUGUGUGUGUGUGUGUGUGUGUGGUAGUGCUUCUAUUCCUGGGAGAUCUAAAUCUAUAUAAAAGUUAUCCUGUAUUUUUGUUGAUUCAUUGUUUGGACAAUGUGAUAAGUUAUUACACGAUUGUCGUUACGCAUCAUAUUUUUGUAUAAAAAUUCUAACGGAGGAAACCCGGUGAACUUCCCGAUCUUGGAGGCUCUAACGUGAUUGGACGUCUUGGAGAAGCGUACGAAGGUCUAAACAGACGUCUGGACGACAUGAACCAACACCAUAAAUGUUUUGUUGAUCAUCUUUUGCUGUUCGCUGUGGGAUCAAUGAGAAUAAUGUUAAUAAUAAUGAGUUCAUCCAUUCUGGGGGUACUGUGUUUGUCUUUUAUUUUCAAAAUAAAAGUAGUCAAAUUA